AUUGAACGCUGGCGGCAGGCCUAACACAUGCAAGUCGAGCGGAUGAAGGGAGCUUGCUCCUGGAUUCAGCGGCGGACGGGCGAGUAAUGCCUAGGAAUCUGCCUGGCAGUGGGGGAUAACGUCCGGAAACGGGCGCUAAUACCGCAUACGUCCUGAGGGAGAAAGUGGGGGAUCUUCGGACCUCACGCUAUCAGAUGAGCCUAGGUCGGAUUAGCUAGUUGGUGGGGUAAAGGCCUACCAAGGCGACGAUCCGUAACUGGUCUGAGAGGAUGAUCAGUCACACUGGAACUGAGACACGGUCCAGACUCCUACGGGAGGCAGCAGUGGGGAAUAUUGGACAAUGGGCGAAAGCCUGAUCCAGCCAUGCCGCGUGUGUGAAGAAGGUCUUCGGAUUGUGAAGCACUUUAAGUUGGGAGGAAGGGCAGUAAGUUAAUACCUUGCUGUUUUGACGUUACCAACAGAAUAAGCACCGGCUAACUUCGUG
Molecule: ribosomal RNA, 484 nt
Filed under: uncultured bacterium
Lineage: Bacteria
Description: partial 16S ribosomal RNA
Rfam family: Bacterial small subunit ribosomal RNA
Source: RNAcentral